UAGAGUUUGAUCAUGGCUCAGAUUGAACGCUGGCGGCAGGCCUAACACAUGCAAGUCGAGCGGAAACGACAUUAUUGAAUCUUCGGAGGAUUUAAUGGGCGUCGAGCGGCGGACGGGUGAGUAAUGCCUAGGAAAUUGCCUUGAUGUGGGGGAUAACCAUUGGAAACGAUGGCUAAUACCGCAUAAUGCCUACGGGCCAAAGAGGGGGACCUUCGGGCCUCUCGCGUCAAGAUAUGCCUAGGUGGGAUUAGCUAGUUGGUGAGGUAAUGGCUCACCAAGGCGACGAUCCCUAGCUGGUCUGAGAGGAUGAUCAGCCACACUGGAACUGAGACACGGUCCAGACUCCUACGGGAGGCAGCAGUGGGGAAUAUUGCACAAUGGGCGAAAGCCUGAUGCAGCCAUGCCGCGUGCAUGAAGAAGGCCUUCGGGUUGUAAAGUACUUUCAGUCGUGAGGAAGGGUGUGUAGUUAAUAGCUGCGCAUCUUGACGUUAGCAACAGAAGAAGCACCGGCUAACUCCGUGCCAGCAGCCGCGGUAAUACGGAGGGUGCGAGCGUUAAUCGGAAUUACUGGGCGUAAAGCGCAUGCAGGUGGUUCAUUAAGUCAGAUGUGAAAGCCCGGGGCUCAACCUCGGAACUGCAUUUGAAACUGGUGAACUAGAGUGCUGUAGAGGGGGGUAGAAUUUCA
RNAcentral lists this ribosomal RNA (685 nucleotides) under uncultured Vibrionaceae bacterium. RNAcentral describes it as "bacterial SSU rRNA". It matches the Rfam family "Bacterial small subunit ribosomal RNA", at positions 1 to 671 of the family's 1533-position model. Lineage: Bacteria; Pseudomonadati; Pseudomonadota; Gammaproteobacteria; Vibrionales; Vibrionaceae. The record is from RNAcentral.